This 484-nucleotide long non-coding RNA is filed under the name Mus spretus (western wild mouse). Its description in RNAcentral is "lncRNA (ENSMSPG00010001676.1)". The record is from RNAcentral. Lineage: Eukaryota; Metazoa; Chordata; Mammalia; Rodentia; Muridae.
GGCAAGUCCAGAGGAGCUGACCCAGGGACAAAGUUACCUGCAGUAGUGGACAAGUGUACUCGGGGCACCCUCUUCCAACCCUUCCGUUUGUCCCUUACCUUGGUUGGAGACGUGACUGCAGUCGCCGGUCCAAGCCGUUAGCAGGGGCAAGAAGAAACCAAAUUGCAAAAGAAAUUCCCGGACUUCGCAGCCCCCCAUGGCUCUGAGCUAUAUUGUUCAGAAUUCUUUUGUAUUCCUUCAGAACAUUGUUCUUCAAGAUAUAUGGGAUCGGGUUUCAGUUAAAGUACAAGAAAACAUGUAGAGGCUCAGAAGUACUAAACAGAACCCUGGUGACAAAAAUUCUGAAAUAUUUUCAUAGAAGAAAUUUGGGACAAGCUCCUGCUUCUGAGAUAAAUCUCGAGUUCACUCUUCUUUGUCUAAUGCAUUAUGGACUUGGAUUAAUUAGAACAAAUAUGAUUUGCAUUGCCGAUCUCUAAAUACCUAA